GCCAAGCAUGGUGGUACUCAUCUGUAGUCCCAGCUACUUGGGAGACUGAGGCGAGAGGAUUGUUUGAGCCCAGGAGUUCUGGGCUGUAGUGAGCUGUGCUAAUUGGGUGUCAACAAUAAGGUUAGCAUCAAUAAGGUGUCCUCUUGGAGGAGGGGGACCACCAAGCUGCUCAAGGAGGCUGAACCCAUCUAUGUUGGAAAUAAAGCAGGUCAAAAUUCUGAGCUGAUAGUAGUAGUGGGAUCAAACUUGUGAAUGGCCACUCCAGUCCAGGCAAUGUAGUGAGACCCCCAUCCCU
Molecule: signal recognition particle RNA, 295 nt
Filed under: Carlito syrichta (Philippine tarsier)
Lineage: Eukaryota; Metazoa; Chordata; Mammalia; Primates; Tarsiidae
Description: Metazoan signal recognition particle RNA (ENSTSYG00000027509.1)
Rfam family: Metazoan signal recognition particle RNA
About the family: The signal recognition particle (SRP) is a universally conserved ribonucleoprotein. It is involved in the co-translational targeting of proteins to membranes.
Source: Rfam by way of RNAcentral